Molecule: RNA transcript, 1444 nt
Organism: Setaria italica (foxtail millet)
Lineage: Eukaryota; Viridiplantae; Streptophyta; Magnoliopsida; Poales; Poaceae
Gene name: serine/arginine-rich-splicing factor SR34
Exons: 15
Source: RefSeq, a predicted model, not a curated record
AAUCUUAAAGCGAAAGAUCCCCGCCGCCAUCCCGAUUCCCAAACCCCUCGCGCCGCCCGCCCGCCCGCCGGAUUCCGAAGCUUCUCGACUCGAGUCGCGCCCCUCCUCGCCGCCGUCGAAUCGUCGCAGGUGUGGCGACGCGAACCCCUCUCCGCCCCGGGAACGAUGACCCGGCGGAACGGCUGCACGAUCUACGUGGGCAAUCUCCCCGGUGACAUCCGCGAGAGGGAAGUAGAGGAUCUCUUCUACAAGUAUGGCCGUAUCGUGGAAAUUGACCUGAAAAUUCCUCCAAGGCCUCCUGGUUUUGCUUUUGUUGAGUUUGAGGACCCACGUGAUGCUGAAGAUGCAAUUUAUGGUCGUGAUGGAUACAAUUUUGAUGGCCAUAGGUUGCGGGUGGAAUUAGCUCAUGGUGGAAGAGGCCCAUCUUUUGAUCGAUCAAGCAGCCAUAAUAGUGUUGGACGCCGCGGUGCAACUAGGCGAUCUGAUUACCGCGUUAUGGUUACUGGACUACCUUCUUCAGCAUCAUGGCAAGAUCUCAAGGAUCAUAUGCGGCGAGCUGGUGAUGUCUGUUUCUCCGAUGUUUAUCGUGAGGCUGGAGCUACUAUUGGAAUAGCUGAUUAUACCAACUAUGAAGAUAUGAAACAUGCGAUAAGGAAACUUGAUGAGUCCGAGUUCCGUAAUGCAUUUUCACGGUCAUAUAUCAGGGUGAGGGAGUAUGAUGCGAGGCGCAGCCGCUCUCGCUCCAGAGGCAGAAGCCAUAGCCGCUCUAAGUCAAGAAGCAGAAGCCGCGGACGCUCUUACUCGAGAAGCAGAAGCCACAGUUAUAGCAGGAGCAGGAGCCCAAGAUCGAGAUCUGCUUCUCAGUCACGAUCACCUGUUAAAGCAAGAUUGGGGCCAUGCGAUGAUCUGGGGAUUGCGUUGCUAGGAUAUUGGAAUAUUGAGAACAUGAGGAUGGUUUGGAACGUUGGAUAGUUCAGCUGGAUUGUGAUGCACUGUAUGACAAGUGGACUACAACCAGCAAUAGGAGCAAGAUAGGGCUGGCACUAAUCAUAUUGGAGUGGAAUUUGAUCACCAUCCAGAUCCCAGUCACCUCGUGCUUCUCCUCCGCGCGACAAGUCCGCUAGCAGGAGCCCUGCCAGGAGCAAAAGUCUGCCCCGAUCUGAUUCUCCCGCAAAAGCUGAGUGAAUCAGAUCGUGCGCUUGAAACCUUCAGAAAUGUGUGGCUGGAGCUGAAUGAUUGUCGUAUGGAUUGUGAACAGCACUCUGUUCUGAAGUAGCAUUGCUAUUCCUUCCAAAAUUUUACAAGCGUGCACUGUUCUUUUAGGAGGUUACUUUGUGCUACUUUGUAAUUGACAUGAUGCAAGCACUGUCAUUGUUUUUUGCACUCAGCAGAACAAUGGCAUUGAUGAGUUCCAUAAUCCAGCUGAAUUUAUCAGUUAUCGUUA